GACGAACGCUGGCGGCGUGCCUAAUACAUGCAAGUCGAGCGGAAGUUGAAGAGCUUGCUCUUCAACUUUAGCGGCGGACGGGUGAGUAACACGUGGGCAACCUGCCCUGCAGAUCGGGAUAACUCCGGGAAACCGGUGCUAAUACCGAAUAGUUUUCGCCACCUCCUGGUGGCGUACGGAAAGACGGUUUCGGCUGUCACUUCAGGAUGGGCCCGCGGCGCAUUAGCUAGUUGGUGGGGUAACGGCCCACCAAGGCGACGAUGCGUAGCCGACCUGAGAGGGUGAUCGGCCACACUGGGACUGAGACACGGCCCAGACUCCUACGGGAGGCAGCAGUAGGGAAUCUUCCGCAAUGGACGAAAGUCUGACGGAGCAACGCCGCGUGAGUGACGAAGGUUUUCGGAUCGUAAAACUCUGUUGUGAGGGAAGAACAAGUACCACUUAACUACUGGUACCUUGACGGUACUUCACCAGAAAGCCACGGCUAACUACGUGCCAGCCGCCGCCGUAA
RNAcentral lists this ribosomal RNA (511 nucleotides) under uncultured bacterium. RNAcentral's name for it is "partial 16S ribosomal RNA". It matches the Rfam family "Bacterial small subunit ribosomal RNA", at positions 28 to 523 of the family's 1533-position model. The record is from RNAcentral.